RNAcentral lists this ribosomal RNA (600 nucleotides) under Bacillus sp. CH167_5R. Its description in RNAcentral is "bacterial SSU rRNA". It matches the Rfam family "Bacterial small subunit ribosomal RNA", at positions 51 to 632 of the family's 1533-position model. The record is from RNAcentral. Lineage: Bacteria; Bacillati; Bacillota; Bacilli; Caryophanales; Bacillaceae.
AUACAUGCAGUCGAGCGAAUGGAUUAAGAGCUUGCUCUUAUGAAGUUAGCGGCGGACGGGUGAGUAACACGUGGGUAACCUGCCCAUAAGACUGGGAUAACUCCGGGAAACCGGGGCUAAUACCGGAUAACAUUUUGAACCGCAUGGUUCGAAAUUGAAAGGCGGCUUCGGCUGUCACUUAUGGAUGGACCCGCGUCGCAUUAGCUAGUUGGUGAGGUAACGGCUCACCAAGGCAACGAUGCGUAGCCGACCUGAGAGGGUGAUCGGCCACACUGGGACUGAGACACGGCCCAGACUCCUACGGGAGGCAGCAGUAGGGAAUCUUCCGCAAUGGACGAAAGUCUGACGGAGCAACGCCGCGUGAGUGAUGAAGGCUUUCGGGUCGUAAAACUCUGUUGUUAGGGAAGAACAAGUGCUAGUUGAAUAAGCUGGCACCUUGACGGUACCUAACCAGAAAGCCACGGCUAACUACGUGCCAGCAGCCGCGGUAAUACGUAGGUGGCAAGCGUUAUCCGGAAUUAUUGGGCGUAAAGCGCGCGCAGGUGGUUUCUUAAGUCUGAUGUGAAAGCCCACGGCUCAACCGUGGAGGGUCAUUGGAAA